This 73-nucleotide transfer RNA is filed under the name Canis lupus familiaris (dog). It matches the Rfam family "tRNA". From Rfam's summary of the family: Transfer RNA (tRNA) molecules are approximately 80 nucleotides in length. Their secondary structure includes four short double-helical elements and three loops (D, anti-codon, and T loops). Further hydrogen bonds mediate the characteristic L-shaped molecular structure. tRNAs have two regions of fundamental functional importance: the anti-codon, which is responsible for specific mRNA codon recognition, and the 3' end, to which the tRNAs corresponding amino acid is attached (by aminoacyl-tRNA synthetases). tRNAs cope with the degeneracy of the genetic code in two manners: having more than one tRNA (with a specific anti-codon) for a particular amino acid; and 'wobble' base-pairing, i.e. permitting non-standard base-pairing at the 3rd anti-codon position. RNAcentral also lists the same sequence under 1 other name. The record is from Rfam by way of RNAcentral. Lineage: Eukaryota; Metazoa; Chordata; Mammalia; Carnivora; Canidae.
ACUUGGCUGGCUCAGUUGGUAGAGCAUGUGACUCUUGAUCUUGGGGUCAUGAGUCCAAGCCCUAUGUUGGGUG